AAGCGUUGUCCGGAAUUAUUGGGCGUAAAGAGCGCGUAGGCGGUCCGAUAAGUCGGCUGUGAAAGUCAGGGGCUCAACCCUUGAAAGCCGGCCGAUACUGUCGGACUAGAGUCCGGAAGAGGCGAGUGGAAUUCCUGGUGUAGCGGUGAAAUGCGCAGAUAUCAGGAAGAACACCCGUGGCGAAGGCGGUUCUCUGGGACGGUACUGACGCUGAGACGCGAAAGCGUGGGGAGCGAACAGG
RNAcentral lists this ribosomal RNA (241 nucleotides) under uncultured bacterium. Its description in RNAcentral is "partial 16S ribosomal RNA". It matches the Rfam family "Bacterial small subunit ribosomal RNA", at positions 536 to 776 of the family's 1533-position model. The record is from RNAcentral.